Small nucleolar RNA from Cercocebus atys (sooty mangabey), 104 nucleotides. NCBI's taxonomy places the organism in Eukaryota, Metazoa, Chordata, Mammalia, Primates, Cercopithecidae. The record is from Ensembl.
AUCCUUUUGUAGUUCAUAAGCAUGAUGACUGGGUUUUCAUGCUUGUGCGUGAGAUGUGCUUCCCUCAAACCUUGUUAUGAUGGUGGCAGAUUACCCAUCUGAUG